RNAcentral lists this ribosomal RNA (1019 nucleotides) under Escherichia coli. Its description in RNAcentral is "partial 23S ribosomal RNA". It matches the Rfam family "Bacterial large subunit ribosomal RNA", at positions 642 to 1663 of the family's 2925-position model. The record is from RNAcentral. Lineage: Bacteria; Pseudomonadati; Pseudomonadota; Gammaproteobacteria; Enterobacterales; Enterobacteriaceae.
AAGGUUAACCGAAUAGGGGAGCCGAAGGGAAACCGAGUCUUAACUGGGCGUUAAGUUGCAGGGUAUAGACCCGAAACCCGGUGAUCUAGCCAUGGGCAGGUUGAAGGUUGGGUAACACUAACUGGAGGACCGAACCGACUAAUGUUGAAAAAUUAGCGGAUGACUUGUGGCUGGGGGUGAAAGGCCAAUCAAACCGGGAGAUAGCUGGUUCUCCCCGAAAGCUAUUUAGGUAGCGCCUCGUGAAUUCAUCUCCGGGGGUAGAGCACUGUUUCGGCAAGGGGGUCAUCCCGACUUACCAACCCGAUGCAAACUGCGAAUACCGGAGAAUGUUAUCACGGGAGACACACGGCGGGUGCUAACGUCCGUCGUGAAGAGGGAAACAACCCAGACCGCCAGCUAAGGUCCCAAAGUCAUGGUUAAGUGGGAAACGAUGUGGGAAGGCCCAGACAGCCAGGAUGUUGGCUUAGAAGCAGCCAUCAUUUAAAGAAAGCGUAAUAGCUCACUGGUCGAGUCGGCCUGCGCGGAAGAUGUAACGGGGCUAAACCAUGCACCGAAGCUGCGGCAGCGACGCUGAUGCGUUGUUGGGUAGGGGAGCGUUCUGUAAGCCUGCGAAGGUGUGCUGUGAGGCAUGCUGGAGGUAUCAGAAGUGCGAAUGCUGACAUAAGUAACGAUAAAGCGGGUGAAAAGCCCGCUCGCCGGAAGACCAAGGGUUCCUGUCCAACGUUAAUCGGGGCAGGGUGAGUCGACCCCUAAGGCGAGGCCGAAAGGCGUAGUCGAUGGGAAACAGGUUAAUAUUCCUGUACUUGGUGUUACUGCGAAGGGGGGACGGAGAAGGCUAUGUUGGCCGGGCGACGGUUGUCCCGGUUUAAGCGUGUAGGCUGGUUUUCCAGGCAAAUCCGGAAAAUCAAGGCUGAGGCGUGAUGACGAGGCACUGCGGUGCUGAAGCAACAAAUGCCCUGCUUCCAGGAAAAGCCUCUAAGCAUCAGGUAACAUCAAAUCGUACCCCAAACCGACACAGG